UGUCUCUUGGUGUGAUAACUCAAAGCCAAAGCACCGCUUCAAGUGAAGCUGUUCGUUUGAUACAGUUUCAAAUUGCCUCCUUCCCCCCUGAAUUAUUCAGCCGCUACAUAUACAUGGACUGGACCACCAGAUGAUGGCGAUCUAGAAGUUGGUCCGCCUCUCAGUUUGGACUGUUGCCCUUCUCCGAAGAAAGAGAAAAGGAAAUUUUACUUGGCUUUGCUGUUCCUUCAUCGACCGAAAAGGCCAUUCGGGUUUCACGGAUCUCUGCUAAUGGUGGCCAAGAGGAAUCAAAUUUUUAUAUUAAUCGGAACAACACGCCAAGAUGUUCAAAAUACAAUAAAUAGCGACCAGUAUUAAUCAACAGUAUCGAGAAAGUCGUUAGAUGGGGUUAACUACAUUGACUUCACCAAACAAAUAGACGGCUAAGGUACCCAAAAAGCAACAAAACGGGGUUUCAGGGCCUUACGCCAAAAGUUUCUUCUGAGGGACGCAUGCUAUCAGGGAUAGUUUUGAAAGGAGGAGCGGGGGGCAACUGCUUUUUUUGCAUUCU
Uranotaenia lowii is the source of this 550-nucleotide long non-coding RNA. RefSeq lists it as uncharacterized. The record is from RefSeq and is a predicted model, not a curated record. The transcript is spliced from 3 exons. Lineage: Eukaryota; Metazoa; Arthropoda; Insecta; Diptera; Culicidae.